This 406-nucleotide ribosomal RNA is filed under the name uncultured bacterium. RNAcentral's name for it is "partial 16S ribosomal RNA". It matches the Rfam family "Bacterial small subunit ribosomal RNA", at positions 28 to 526 of the family's 1533-position model. The record is from RNAcentral.
GACGAACGCUGGCGGCGUGCCUAAUACAUGCACGUCGAACGAGUGGCGGACGGGUGAGUAAUGUCUGGGAAACUGCCCGAUGGAGGGGGGUAACUACUGGAAACGGUAGCUAAUACCGCAUACCAUCGGAUGUGCCCAGAUGGGAUUAGCUAGUAGGGGGGGUAACGGCUGACCUAGGCGACGAUCCCUAGCUGGUCUGAGAGGAUGACCAGCCACACUGGAACUGAGACACGGUCCAGACGCCGACGGGAGGCAGCAGUGGGGAAUAUUGCACAAUGGGCGCAAGCCUGAGGCAGCUAUGCCGCGGGUAUGAAGAAGGCCUUAGGGUUGUAAAGUACUUUCAGCGAGGAGGCGUUACUCGCAGAAGAAGCACCGGCUAACUCCGUGCCAGCAGCCGCGGUAAUUC